GGGUCUGUAGCUCAGUUUGGUUAGAGCGCUACAUUGACAUUGUAGAGGUCUCCAGUUCGAGUCUGGACAGACCCA
This 75-nucleotide transfer RNA is filed under the name bacterium. RNAcentral describes it as "tRNA-Val". It matches the Rfam family "tRNA". From Rfam's summary of the family: Transfer RNA (tRNA) molecules are approximately 80 nucleotides in length. Their secondary structure includes four short double-helical elements and three loops (D, anti-codon, and T loops). The record is from RNAcentral.